RNAcentral lists this ribosomal RNA (966 nucleotides) under Pseudocercospora sp. RNAcentral describes it as "partial large subunit ribosomal RNA". It matches the Rfam family "Eukaryotic large subunit ribosomal RNA", at positions 99 to 1113 of the family's 3401-position model. Lineage: Eukaryota; Fungi; Ascomycota; Dothideomycetes; Mycosphaerellales; Mycosphaerellaceae. The record is from RNAcentral.
CGGCAACAGCUCAAAUUUGAAAUCUGGCGCAAGCCCGAGUUGUAAUUUGUAGAGGAUGCUUCUGGGUAGCGGCCGGUCUAAGUUCCUUGGAACAGGACGUCAUAGAGGGUGAGAAUCCCGUAUGUGACUGGCUUGCACCCUCCACGUAGCUCCUUCGACGAGUCGAGUUGUUUGGGAAUGCAGCUCUAAAUGGGAGGUAAAUUUCUUCUAAAGCUAAAUACCGGCCAGAGACCGAUAGCGCACAAGUAGAGUGAUCGAAAGAUGAAAAGCACUUUGGAAAGAGAGUUAAAAAGCACGUGAAAUUGUUGAAAGGGAAGCGCCCGCAACCAGACUUUGCGGCAGUGUUCGGCCGGUCUUCUGACCGGUUUACUCGCUGUCGUGAGGCCAUCAUCGUCUGGGACCGCUGGAUAAGACCUUAGGAAUGUGGCUCCCCUCGGGGAGUGUUAUAGCCUCUGGUGAUGCAGCGCGUCUCGGGCGAGGUCCGCGCUUCGGCAAGGAUGAUGGCGUAAUGGUUGUCGGCGGCCCGUCUUGAAACACGGACCAAGGAGUCUAACAUCUAUGCGAGUGUUCGGGUGUCAAACCCCUACGCGUAAUGAAAGUGAACGGAGGUGGGAACGUUUUGUGCACCAUCGACCGAUCCUGAUGUCCUCGGAUGGAUUUGAGUAAGAGCAUAGCUGUUGGGACCCGAAAGAUGGUGAACUAUGCCUGAAUAGGGUGAAGCCAGAGGAAACUCUGGUGGAGGCUCGCAGCGGUUCUGACGUGCAAAUCGAUCGUCAAAUUUGGGUAUAGGGGCGAAAGACUAAUCGAACCAUCUAGUAGCUGGUUCCUGCCGAAGUUUCCCUCAGGAUAGCAGUAACGUUUUCAGUUUAUGAGGUAAGCGAAUGAUUAGAGGCUUGGGGUGAAACACCUUACCUAUCCCAACUUUAAAUUGUAAAAAGCCUUGUACUUAUUGAACUGGAAUUUGAU